GGCUCCAUAGCUCAACAGGAUAGAGCAACGGUUUUCUAAACCGUAGGUUCCAGGUUCGAACCCUGGUGGAGUCA
This 74-nucleotide transfer RNA is filed under the name Saprospiraceae bacterium. RNAcentral's name for it is "tRNA-Arg". It matches the Rfam family "tRNA". Rfam says of the family: Transfer RNA (tRNA) molecules are approximately 80 nucleotides in length. Their secondary structure includes four short double-helical elements and three loops (D, anti-codon, and T loops). Further hydrogen bonds mediate the characteristic L-shaped molecular structure. tRNAs have two regions of fundamental functional importance: the anti-codon, which is responsible for specific mRNA codon recognition, and the 3' end, to which the tRNAs corresponding amino acid is attached (by aminoacyl-tRNA synthetases). tRNAs cope with the degeneracy of the genetic code in two manners: having more than one tRNA (with a specific anti-codon) for a particular amino acid; and 'wobble' base-pairing, i.e. permitting non-standard base-pairing at the 3rd anti-codon position. RNAcentral also lists the same sequence under 1 other name. The record is from RNAcentral. Lineage: Bacteria; Pseudomonadati; Bacteroidota; Saprospiria; Saprospirales; Saprospiraceae.